UACGAAGGGUGCUAGCGUUGUUCGGAAUCACUGGGCGUAAAGCGCGCUUAGGCGGCUAUUCAAGUCAGAGGUGAAAGCCUGGAGCUCAACUCCAGAAUUGCCUUUGAAACUGUGUAGCUAGAGUGUCGGAGGGGAUAGCGGAAUUGCUAAUGUAGAGGUGAAAUUCGUAGAUAUUAGCAGGAACACCGGUGGCGAAGGCGGCUAUCUGGACGACAACUGACGCUGAGGCGCGAAAGCGUGGGGAUCAAACAGG
RNAcentral lists this ribosomal RNA (253 nucleotides) under uncultured bacterium. RNAcentral's name for it is "partial 16S ribosomal RNA". It matches the Rfam family "Bacterial small subunit ribosomal RNA", at positions 524 to 776 of the family's 1533-position model. The record is from RNAcentral.